RNAcentral lists this ribosomal RNA (372 nucleotides) under uncultured organism. RNAcentral's name for it is "partial 16S ribosomal RNA". It matches the Rfam family "Bacterial small subunit ribosomal RNA", at positions 527 to 896 of the family's 1533-position model. The record is from RNAcentral.
GUAGGUGGCAAGCGUUGUCCGGAAUUAUUGGGCGUAAAGCGCGCGCAGGCGGUUUUUAAGUCUGAUGUGAAAGCCCACGGGCUCAACCGUGGAGGGUCAUUGGAAACUGGAGAACUUGAGUACAGAAGAGGAAAUCGGAAUUCCACGUGUAGCGGUGAAAUGCGUAGAGAUGUAGAGGAACACCAGUGGCGAAGGCGGCUUUCUGGUCUGUAACUGACGCUGAGGCGCGAAAGCGUGGGGAGCAAACAGGAUUAGAUACCCUGGUAGUCCACGCCGUAAACGAUGAGUGCUAAGUGUUAGGGGGUUUCCGCCCCUUAGUGCUGCAGCUAACGCAUUAAGCACUCCGCCUGGGGAGUACGGCCGCAAAGGCUG